This 18-nucleotide small nuclear RNA is filed under the name Arabidopsis thaliana (thale cress). Its description in RNAcentral is "snRNA_16528". The record is from RNAcentral. Lineage: Eukaryota; Viridiplantae; Streptophyta; Magnoliopsida; Brassicales; Brassicaceae.
UGAGCUCAACGAGAACAG